AUUGAACGCUGGCGGCAUGCUUUACACAUGCAAGUCGAACGGCAGCGCGGGCUUCGGCCUGGCGGCGAGUGGCGAACGGGUGAGUAAUGCAUCGGAACGUGCCCAGUAGUUGGGGAUAGCCCGGCGAAAGCCGGAUUAAUACCGCAUACGACCUGAUGUUGAAAGCGGGGGACCGAAAGGCCUCGCGCUAUUGGAGCGGCCGAUGUCGGAUUAGCUAGUUGGUGGGGUAAAGGCUUACCAAGGCGACGAUCCGUAGCUGGUCUGAGAGGACGACCAGCCACACUGGGACUGAGACACGGCCCAGACUCCUACGGGAGGCAGCAGUGGGGAAUUUUGGACAAUGGGGGAAACCCUGAUCCAGCCAUGCCGCGUGCGGGAAGAAGGCCUUCGGGUUGUAAACCGCUUUUGUUCGGGAAGAAAUCCUCUGGGCUAAUACCCCGGGGGGAUGACGGUACCGGAAGAAUAAGCACCGGCUAACUACGUG
This 484-nucleotide ribosomal RNA is filed under the name uncultured bacterium. RNAcentral's name for it is "partial 16S ribosomal RNA". It matches the Rfam family "Bacterial small subunit ribosomal RNA", at positions 29 to 507 of the family's 1533-position model. The record is from RNAcentral.